UUGUAUCAUCACACCUUACUCCUGUCUCUUGCUGAUAUCGUAACUGAGGCUGGUGAACCAUGAAUACCAAGAGCAUUGUAUUCCUGCUGGUGCUGGUGAUCGUGGCCGUCACCGUUGUCAAUGGAAGCAUCAAGUAUCCCUGCCCACAAGUCAACGGGUUUUGUGUAAGUUUUUGUAGUUACGGACAAGAAAUAUCUACCGGCAUCUGCUACGGCAAUAAUAUAUGUUGCAGGGUAAAACAGCCUUACCACUAGUCCACAACAGUGGCCAGACCUGACGGACGCCACCAUGACCUAUAAGAAGACACCCUCAACUGUGUUUGGUGAUCAUCGACGAAACUUCUGUUUUCACAUGCGAUUCGAGAACUUGCUUUACCUAUGAUUUUUUUUAAGCAUUUGAAUUCUGCAACAACCUUUAUUUUCUUGUUCUUGCACAUUUUAAGAAAUGAUGGAGAAUAUUAGUAAAAUUUAAUUUAACUUGAGACUUGCGUCAUUAGCAUGCGCAUCUGCUUAUUUUUGACGUGUAUUGCCUUGUUAAUUCCCUCAUCUAUAAAUGAUAACAUUUAUCUUUGUUUUGAGAUCUUGAUAAUAAAAUUGUUAUGCUAAAACUGAAA
RNAcentral lists this long non-coding RNA (613 nucleotides) under Homarus americanus (American lobster). Its description in RNAcentral is "uncharacterized LOC121854893". Lineage: Eukaryota; Metazoa; Arthropoda; Malacostraca; Decapoda; Nephropidae. The record is from RNAcentral.